Molecule: ribosomal RNA, 497 nt
Filed under: uncultured bacterium
Lineage: Bacteria
Description: partial 16S ribosomal RNA
Rfam family: Bacterial small subunit ribosomal RNA
Source: RNAcentral
GACGAACGCUGGCGGCGUGCCUAAUACAUGCAAGUUGAGCGCUGAAGGUUGGUACUUGUACCAACUGGAUGAGCAGCGAACGGGUGAGUAACGCGUGGGGAAUCUGCCUUUGAGCGGGGGACAACAUUUGGAAACGAAUGCUAAUACCGCAUAAAAACUUUAAACACAAGUUUUAAGUUUGAAAGAUGCAAUUGCAUCACUCAAAGAUGAUCCCGCGUUUUAUUAGCUAGUUGGUGAGGUAAAGGCUCACCAAGGCGAUGAUACAUAGCCGACCUGAGAGGGUGAUCGGCCACAUUGGGACUGGGACACGGCCCAAAAUCCUACGGGAGGCAGCAGUAGGGAAUCUUCGGCAAUGGACGAAAGUCUGACCGAGCAACGCCGCGUGGGUGAAGAAGGUUUUCGGAUCGUAAAACUCUGUUGGUAGAGAAGAACGUUGGUGAGAGUGGAAAGCUCAUCAAGUGACGGUAACUACCCAGAAAGGGACGGCUAACUACGUG